This is a long non-coding RNA of Erinaceus europaeus (western European hedgehog), 101 nucleotides long. RefSeq lists it as uncharacterized. NCBI's taxonomy places the organism in Eukaryota, Metazoa, Chordata, Mammalia, Eulipotyphla, Erinaceidae. The record is from RefSeq and is a predicted model, not a curated record. The transcript is spliced from 3 exons.
GGAGUCGGGGACCCCCGGUUAGAGGGGAGAUCGGGGACCUCCGGUUAGAGGGGGAGUCGGGGACCCCCGGUUAGAGGGGGAUCGGGGACCCCCGGUUAGAG